Molecule: ribosomal RNA, 1878 nt
Filed under: uncultured bacterium
Lineage: Bacteria
Description: partial 16S ribosomal RNA
Rfam family: Bacterial small subunit ribosomal RNA (bases 1-1533)
Source: RNAcentral
GAGUUUGAUCCUGGCUCAGGACGAACGCUGGCGGCAUGCCUAACACAUGCAAGUCGAACGGAGAUUAUUUCGAUAAUCUUAGUGGCGAACGGGUGAGUAACGCGUGGGCAACCUGCCCUCUAGAUGGGGACAACAUCCCGAAAGGGGUGCUAAUACCGAAUGUGACAGCAAUCUCGCAUGAGGAUGCUGUGAAAGAUGGCCUCUAUUUAUAAGCUAUCGCUAGAGGAUGGGCCUGCGUCUGAUUAGCUAGUUGGUGGGGUAAUGGCCUACCAAGGCGAUGAUCAGUAGCCGGUCUGAGAGGAUGAACGGCCACAUUGGGACUGAGACACGGCCCAGACUCCUACGGGAGGCAGCAGUGGGGAAUCUUCCGCAAUGGGCGAAAGCCUGACGGAGCAAUGCCGCGUGAGUGAUGAAGGAAUUCGUUCCGUAAAGCUCUUUUGUUUAUGACGAAUGUGCAGAUUGUGAACAAUGAUUUGUAAUGACGGUAGUAAACGAAUAAGCCACGGCUAACUACGUGCCAGCAGCCGCGGUAAUACGUAGGUGGCGAGCGUUGUCCCGAAUUAUUGGGCGUAAAGAGCAUGUAGGCGGUUUUUUAAGUCUGGAGUGAAAAUGCGGGGCUCAACCCCGUAUGGCUCUGGAUACUGGAAGACUUGAGUGCAGGAGAGGAAAGGGGAAUUCCCAGUGUAGCGGUGAAAUGCGUAGAUAUUGGGAGGAACACCAGUGGCGAAGGCGCCUUUCUGGACUGUGUCUGACGCUGAGAUGCGAAAGCCAGGGUAGCGAACGGGAUUAGAUACCCCGGUAGUCCUGGCCGUAAACGAUGGGUACUAGGUGUAGGAGGUAUCGACCCCUUCUGUGCCGGAGUUAACGCAAUAAGUACCCCGCCUGGGGAGUACGUCCGCAAGGAUGAAACUCAAAGGAAUUGACGGGGGCCCGCACAAGCUGUGGAGUAUGUGGUUUAAUUCGACGCAACGCGAAGAACCUUACCAAGGCUUGACAUUGAAUGACCGCUUCAGAGAUGAAGCUUUCCCUUCGGGGACAUGAAAACAGGUGGCACAUGGCUGUCGUCAGCUCGUGUCGAGAGAUGUUGGGUUAAGUCCCCCAACGAGCGCAACCCCUAUCCUAUGUUACCCGCGGGUAAUGCCGGGGACUCAUAAGAGACUGCCAGGGACGACUUCCAGAAGGCGGGGAUGACUUCAAGUCUUCUGCCCCUUUAUGCCUUGGGGUACACACGUACUACAAAGGGCCGCAACCAGAGGGAAGCAAACCCCCUAAGCCAAACCAAACCCCGAAAACCGGAUCUCAUUCCGGAUGCAAGAUUCACCCCCCCUGCUGGAAGUCGGAACCCUAAUAAUCGCAAGGAAGCAAACUGGGGGUGAUAAAAUCCCCGGGGCCUGGUACAAAAGGCGGGUAAACCCCCAAAGGGGGGGAAACCCCAAAGCGGGGGGGGUAACCGAAGGGAGCCGGUCACCCAAGGGGGGGGGGAGAAUGGGCGUGAAUUCUCACAAGUAACCGAAAAGCCAAAUCCCGGCCCCAAAAAUAAAUUGCCCUAAGGGGGCCGUUUCAAUACUAGGCGGGGGGUUGGAGNNNNGNGGGGGGGAAUUUUUUNNNUCCCCCAAAAAAAAAAAUUAAGAGACCUCCCCCCUUGAAGAAAAAAAAGGGGGGAGAGGUUUUUUCCCCCCGGGGGGGGUGUGUGUUGUGCUUCCAGAGAGAAAAUUCCCCCCUUCCCCGGGGGGGGGGGGGUUUUAAACCCCGGUUCUCCCAGAGAGGGGAGAUUUUUUUUUUCCUCCUCUUCUACAAAAACAAGGCGGCGAAGAGAAAAGGAGAGGACCACCCACACCUCUUUUUUNUCCCCCUUUCCUGGGGGGGGGGGGGGGCUCC